This 717-nucleotide ribosomal RNA is filed under the name Salmonella enterica. RNAcentral describes it as "partial 23S ribosomal RNA". It matches the Rfam family "Bacterial large subunit ribosomal RNA", at positions 2086 to 2802 of the family's 2925-position model. Lineage: Bacteria; Pseudomonadati; Pseudomonadota; Gammaproteobacteria; Enterobacterales; Enterobacteriaceae. RNAcentral also lists the same sequence under 1 other name. The record is from RNAcentral.
AGACCCCGUGAACCUUUACUAUAGCUUGACACUGAACAUUGAGCCUUGAUGUGUAGGAUAGGUGGGAGGCUUUGAAGUGUGGACGCCAGUCUGCAUGGAGCCGACCUUGAAAUACCACCCUUUAAUGUUUGAUGUUCUAACGUGGACCCGUUACCCGGGUUGCGGACAGUGUCUGGUGGGUAGUUUGACUGGGGCGGUCUCCUCCUAAAGAGUAACGGAGGAGCACGAAGGUUGGCUAAUCCUGGUCGGACAUCAGGAGGUUAGUGCAAUGGCAUAAGCCAGCUUGACUGCGAGCGUGACGGCGCGAGCAGGUGCGAAAGCAGGUCAUAGUGAUCCGGUGGUUCUGAAUGGAAGGGCCAUCGCUCAACGGAUAAAAGGUACUCCGGGGAUAACAGGCUGAUACCGCCCAAGAGUUCAUAUCGACGGCGGUGUUUGGCACCUCGAUGUCGGCUCAUCACAUCCUGGGGCUGAAGUAGGUCCCAAGGGUAUGGCUGUUCGCCAUUUAAAGUGGUACGCGAGCUGGGUUUAGAACGUCGUGAGACAGUUCGGUCCCUAUCUGCCGUGGGCGCUGGAGAACUGAGGGGGGCUGCUCCUAGUACGAGAGGACCGGAGUGGACGCAUCACUGGUGUUCGGGUUGUCAUGCCAAUGGCACUGCCCGGUAGCUAAAUGCGGAAGAGAUAAGUGCUGAAAGCAUCUAAGCACGAAACUUGCCCCGA